GCUCAGUAACACGUGGAUAACCUACCCUUAGGACCGGGAUAACUCUGGGAAACUGGGGCUAAUACUGGAUAGAUGAUUUUUCUUGGAAUGGGAUUUUGUUUAAAUGUUUUUUCGCCUAAGGAUGGGUCUGCGGCAGAUUAGGUAGUUGGUUAGGUAAUGGCUUACCAAGCCUAUGAUCUGUACGGGUUGUGAGAGCAAGAGCCCGGAGAUGGAACCUGAGACAAGGUUCCAGGCCCUACGGGGCGCGGCAGGCGCGAAACCUCCACAAUGUACGAGAGUGCGAUGGGGGGAUCCCAAGUGCUAUUCUUAACGGGAUAGCUUUUCUUAAGUGUAAAAAGCUUUUGGAAUAAGAGCUGGGCAAGACCGGUGCCAGCCGCCGCGGUAACCC
This 388-nucleotide ribosomal RNA is filed under the name uncultured Methanobrevibacter sp. RNAcentral's name for it is "bacterial SSU rRNA". It matches the Rfam family "Archaeal small subunit ribosomal RNA", at positions 88 to 476 of the family's 1478-position model. The record is from RNAcentral. Lineage: Archaea; Methanobacteriati; Methanobacteriota; Methanobacteria; Methanobacteriales; Methanobacteriaceae.